AGUGAACGCUGGCGGUAGGCCUAACACAUGCAAGUCGAACGGCAGCACAGUAAGAGCUUGCUCUUACGGGUGGCGAGUGGCGGACGGGUGAGGAAUACAUCGGAAUCUACUUUUUCGUGGGGGAUAACGUAGGGAAACUUACGCUAAUACCGCAUACGACCUACGGGUGAAAGCAGGGGAUCUUCGGACCUUGCGCGAUUGAAUGAGCCGAUGUCGGAUUAGCUAGUUGGCGGGGUAAAGGCCCACCAAGGCGACGAUCCGUAGCUGGUCUGAGAGAAUGAUCAGCCACACUGGAACUGAGACACGGUCCAGACUCCUACGGGAGGCAGCAGUGGGGAAUAUUGGACAAUGGGCGCAAGCCUGAUCCAGCCAUCCCGCGUGGGUGAAGAAGGCCUUCGGGUUGUAAAGCCCUUUUGUUGGGAAAGAAAAGCAGCAGGUUAAUACCCCGCUGUUCUGACGGUACCCAAAGAAUAAGCACCGGCUAACUUCGUG
Molecule: ribosomal RNA, 492 nt
Filed under: uncultured bacterium
Lineage: Bacteria
Description: partial 16S ribosomal RNA
Rfam family: Bacterial small subunit ribosomal RNA
Source: RNAcentral